GCCCUAGGGUGGCCAUGGCAGACAGAGGUGGCUGGGCGGGCAGUGCUUGGACCAGUGCCCUAAUUUCAUUCUCUCUGCUCCUCCCACAGAAGGGCGAUGAUCUGGAGGAGGGUGUCACAAGUGAAGAGUUUGAUAAAUUCCUUGAAGAAAGAGCCAAAGCUGCUGAAAUGGUUCCCGACCUCCCCUCGCCCCCCAUGGAGGCUCCUGCCCCAGCCUCAAACCCUUCCGGCCGGAAGAAGCCAGAGCGGUCAGAAGAUGCGCUCUUCGCCCUGUGAGCAGCUCUGUGGUUUGCCUCCCCAGAUGGCGGGUCCCCGCUCGCACCCCGUGGACACCAGGCACUGGCCACUCCUACAUCCCCAGCUCCACAUGGCCUGCACACCUGUGUCUCCAUGGAAAUGCCGUGUCUGCUCCCAGGCCUCCCACUAGUCAGGACCAGCUUCAGCCACUUCUUUUCUCUGAGUGGUGGGACAGUUGCAGCCAGAGACUCUCUCCCCUCCCACCAUGGGCCCCUCUGCCCAUGUUUCCUCCCAGGAAGAGCGGGCAGAGUGGCCCAGCCCCAGGCAGUGCUUCCUG
RNAcentral lists this small RNA (573 nucleotides) under Pongo abelii (Sumatran orangutan). RNAcentral describes it as "retained intron". The record is from RNAcentral. Lineage: Eukaryota; Metazoa; Chordata; Mammalia; Primates; Hominidae.